Long non-coding RNA from Oncorhynchus tshawytscha (Chinook salmon), 3436 nucleotides. NCBI's taxonomy places the organism in Eukaryota, Metazoa, Chordata, Actinopteri, Salmoniformes, Salmonidae. The record is from Ensembl.
CUUAAGACUGAACAUCUUCUACUCCCAGGCCUUAAGACUGAACAUCUUCUACCCCAAGCCUUAAGACUGAACAUCUUCUACUCCCAAGCCUUAAGACUGAACAUCUUCUACUCCCAAGCCUUAAGCCUGAACAUCUUCUACUCCCAAGCCUUAAGCCUGCUAAACAACUCAUCAAAUGGCUACCUGGACUACCUACAUUGACCCUUUUUGCACUCACUGUACCCCUAACCUCAAUUACCUGGUACCCCUGCACCUCCACUCAGUACUGGUUCUCUCUGUAUAUAACCAUGUUAUUACCUUGUACUCCCUGUAUAUAACCAUGUUAUUACCUGGUACUCCCUGUAUAUAGUCAUGUUAUUACCUGGUACUCCCUGUAUAUAGUCAUGUUAUUACCUGGUACUCCCUGUAUAUAACCAUGUAAUUACCUGGUACUCCAUGCAUAUAACCAUGUUAAUACCUGGUACUCCUUGUCUAUAACCAUGUUAUUACCUGGUACUCCUUGUAUAUAACUAUGUUAUUACCUGGUACUCCCUGUAUAGAGCCAUGUUAUUACCUGGUACUCCCUGUAUAUAACCAUGUUAUUACCUGGUACCCCUGCACCUCCACUCAGUACUGGUACUCCCUGUAUAUAACCAUGUCAUUACCUGGUACUCCCUGUAUAUAACCAUGUCAUUUUUACUCGUAAGUCACUUCAACUCUGCAUUUUUGGAAAAGGUGGUACAUCUAGCAUGGGGUAGUUUGGUUCAUGGUGAAAAGAUGGUACAUCUAGCAUGGGGUAGUUUGGUUCAUGGUGCAAAGGUGGUACAUCUAGCAUGGGGUAGUUUGGUUCGAGGUGAAAAUAUGGUACAUCUAGCAUGGGGUAGUUUGGUUCGAGGUGAAAAGGUGGUACAUCUAGCAUGGGGUAGUUUGGUUCAUGGUGAAAUAGGUGGUACAUCUAGCAUGGGGUAGUUUGGUUCAUGGUGAAAUAGGUGGUACAUCUAGCAUGGGGUAGUUUGGUUCAUGGUGAAUUCUCAUGUUUAUUGCAUGCAGUCUCUAAAUGUGUCUAUAACGUAUUACUAGGCUAAAGUGUAUGUUGUUAGCCAAGCCAGUCAUCUGUUGCAACAUCAAAGUGCAGUUCAUUGGUGGAAUAAGACCAUAUUGAGUUAUGAGUUUACUGGCAGAAAGUAUAGAAAACAGUCAGAGAACCUCCUUAAGAAAUGGUCCUAUUCAUCUGUUUUUAAUCUGUGUCAUUAGGUUGGCUGAGUUUGCUGUUUUUAAUCUGCAUUUACGGGAAGGGUUCUUGUCGGUGUCUGUUUCCUCUCUCUCUUCAGUGUAAACUUUCAGCUCUAACAGAUUACAUGUGAGGCAGAGAGAAAACACUUGAGAUGCAUAAUGAGUGUGUAUUUUAAUUAAGAUCAGGCCUUCUGUAGGCCUACAGUUUUUUGAACCUUUAUUUAACUAGGCAGGUCAGACAAUAACUCAUUCUUAUCUACAAUGACAGCCUCCCAGGGAACAGUGGGUUAACUGCCUUGUUCAGGGGCAGAACGACAGAUUUGGACCUUGUCAGCUCUUGGAUUCGAUCUUGCAACCUUUCGCUUACUAGUCCAACACUCUAACCACUAGGUUACCUGCCGUACCACAGUGAUCAGAUUAGUAACACAACAUAUUUCUAUUUGAUAAUUGCAAAGAUUAUUGUAUAACUGUAUGAGAUACAUAGACUGACAAAUGGAACUAUUUCUUAAUUUCCAUAUUUGACUAUUUGGUUUUACAUUUGAGCAAAAAAAAGAUGUUUAAAACGUAAUGUACAUGAAAAUCUGGACACCUAAUUCUAAAAGAGAAAGUGUGAGACGUGAAAACAAUCUCCCUCUCUGUUUUUCCUGUUGGAGUUGUGGGAAUGUUGGAGGCAUGUCCUCCCCUCGCCUCUCUGCGCCAACUUGGAUGAUUUAUAUAUUUCCUCCCUUUCUGCGUUCAGAAUAAUACUGUGUGUUCUCUGCUCUGAGAGACACUGUAACCAGACAGACUGACACAAUGGGCUGUGAGAGACGGCUGUUCCUGACUGCUGCUCUGCUGGCUGUCUUUUUAUGCAGUAAGUUUAUUCUUCUACAAUAGCGGAGGCUCCUCAGAGGAGGAAGGGGAGGACCAUCCUCCUCAGUGAAAUUUCAUAAAAAUAAAAAUAGUGAAACAUUAAAUAAAGGGACCCUUUUUAGAUAAAAAUAUACUAAAUAUAUUCACGUCACCAAAUAAUUGAUUAAAAUACACUGUUUUGCAAUGACAGUCUACAGUAACUUCAACAGCACUGUCUGGGUAGCACCAUGGUGUAGCCGGAGGACAGUUAGCUUCCAUCCUCCUCUGGCUACAUUGACUUCAAUACAAAACCUAGGAGGCUCGCAGGCCUCAGCCACUUCCAUAGACAUACAUUUUAUUUAACCUUUAUUUAACCAGGAAGGGCUCGUUGAGAUUAAAAUCUAUUUUUCAAGAGCGCCCUGGCCAAGAUAGGCAGCACCAAGUCAUUACAAAAAAAUUACAGACAGACAUGAAAAGCUACAAGUAAUCUAGUAAAAACCAUUGAAUUCACAAGAGUAUAAAACAGCAAAUUAAAAACAUUGACAGGUCAGGGAAUCAGCCUCAAAAUCCUUCAUCAGUGAUUUAAAAACAUUUAGAACAGUUAGCAGGAUAUAGUGGUACGUAAGUGUUUUGCAGUUUGAAAUAAAUCUCAAAGUGCCAUGGUAAAGAGUGUCAAUUGAUCUCAAACACUGCGCGGAAGCAUUCAUAUAUAAAACAUCCCCAUAGUCUAGUAAAGACAUAAAUGUAGCUGAUACUAGCCUCCUUCUGGCUUCAAAAGAAAAACAGGCCUUAUUCCUAAAAUAAAAUCCCAAUUUCAGCUUCAAUUUUUUUUGUAAGUAGUUGAAUACGCAAUUUAAAAGAGAGGCCGUCAUCAAUUAAAAUUCCAAGAUAUUUAUAUGAGAUUACAACCUCAAUUUCCUUGCCCUGAAAGGUAGUAAUAGGUUCUGAGGUCUAUUUCUUGCAUUAGAAAACACCAUUUGUUUAGUUUUGUCAGUAUUGAGGAUAAGCUUCAAUUGACACAAGGUAUGUUGAACAGUAUAAAAAGCAGUUUGCAUGUUCUGGAAAGCUUUUGUAAGAGACGAGGCACAACAGUAAAUAACAGUAUCAUCAGCAUAAAAUGAAGUUGUGCAUUUUGGACAUUUUUGUCUAAAUCAUUUAUAUAAAUAGUGAAUAAGAAAGGACCAAGUACAGAGCCUUGGGGCACACCAUUCAAGACAGACAAUUCAACAGACAUAAGCCCAUCAAAUUGAGUGUAUUGAGUUCUAUCAGACAGAUAGUUAGCAAACCAUGCAACUGCAUGCUCCGAAAGACCUACACUCGACAAUCUCUGCCUUAGUAUAGCAUGAUCAACUGUAUCAAAAGCCUUAGAGAGAUCAAUAAAAAGUGAGACACA